AACAAGGUCUCCGUUGGUGAACCAGCGGAGGGAUCAUUAUCGAGUUAUUCAACUCCCAAACCCUAUGUGAACUUACCACUUGUUGCUUCGGCGCGCGCUUCGGCGCCGCCGAGGACACUUAAACUCUUUGUUUUUAUAAGCAUUUCUGAGUGGCCGAAAGGCAAAAAUACAAAUGAAUCAAAACUUUCAACAACGGAUCUCUUGGUUCUGGCAUCGAUGAAGAACGCAGCGAAAUGCGAUAAGUAAUGUGAAUUGCAGAAUUCAGUGAAUCAUCGAAUCUUUGAACGCACAUUGCGCCCGCCAGCAUUCUGGCGGGCAUGCCUGUUCGAGCGUCAUUUCAACCCUUGAGCCCGACUCUUUUGAGGACGGCUCGGCGUUGGGGGACGGCAGACUCCCCCCGGCAUCUCGCCGGGGACGCCGCCCCCGAAAUCUAGUGGCGGCCCUCCGAGGCGACCUCUGCGUAGUAACUUGUUCUCGCACCGGAAAGCUCAGAGCGGCCACGCCGUAAAACCCCAACUUUUUUCAGGUUGACCUCGAAUCAGGUAGGACUACCCGCUGAACUUAAGCAUAUCAAUA
Molecule: ribosomal RNA, 576 nt
Filed under: uncultured eukaryote
Lineage: Eukaryota
Description: eukaryotic LSU rRNA
Rfam family: 5.8S ribosomal RNA (bases 182-335)
Source: RNAcentral